RNAcentral lists this non-coding RNA (292 nucleotides) under Anaerobacillus arseniciselenatis. RNAcentral's name for it is "T-box sequence". It matches the Rfam family "T-box leader". Rfam says of the family: Uncharged tRNA acts as the effector for transcription antitermination of genes in the T-box leader family. T-boxes are found upstream of many aminoacyl-tRNA synthetase genes and some amino acid biosynthetic genes usually in Gram-positive bacteria. Lineage: Bacteria; Bacillati; Bacillota; Bacilli; Caryophanales; Bacillaceae. The record is from RNAcentral.
AGAUAAACGUUGAAGAGGAGAAGUAAAAGGAGUAUUUUCUUUAUAGAGAGAGCUGUCUUGGCUGAAAGCAGCUUAAGAAAUACCUUUUGAAAUGCCCCUCUGAGUCCUAUACUAAAAAACUUUAAAUGGAAGUUUUAAACCUCCUGAUUACCGGACUUUUUAAAAUUCCGUACAGUGUGAGUUUAAAAUUCCUUUCAAAGUUAAGUAAGUAUAGGCGGUACUCACCGUUAACGAGUUAAGAGGAGUAGAUAAUACUCAAACAGAGUGGGACCGCGCUAAAAGCGUCUCUGUG